Molecule: non-coding RNA, 56 nt
Filed under: unclassified sequences
Source: RNAcentral
CGCAGAUGACGGUGCCACCACGGCACCGUAAUGCGAUAACCAGGUUCCAAGCCCUG